Molecule: ribosomal RNA, 429 nt
Filed under: Bacteroidota bacterium
Lineage: Bacteria; Pseudomonadati; Bacteroidota
Description: Bacteroidetes bacterium partial 16S ribosomal RNA
Rfam family: Bacterial small subunit ribosomal RNA
Source: RNAcentral
UAGGGAAUCUUCCGCAAUGGACGCAAGUCUGACGGAGCAACGCCGCGUGAGUGAAGAAGGAUUUCGGUUCGUAAAACUCUGUUGUUAGAGAAGAACAGCGCAUAGAGUAACUGUUAUGCGUGUGACGGUAUCUAACCAGAAAGCCACGGCUAACUACGUGCCAGCAGCCGCGGUAAUACGUAGGUGGCAAGCGUUGUCCGGAUUUAUUGGGCGUAAAGCGAGCGCAGGCGGUCAAUUAAGUCUGAUGUGAAAGCCCCCGGCUCAACCGGGGAGGGUCAUUGGAAACUGGUUGACUUGAGUGCAGAAGAGGAGAGUGGAAUUCCAUGUGUAGCGGUGAAAUGCGUAGAUAUAUGGAGGAACACCGGUGGCGAAAGCGGCUCUCUGGUCUGUAACUGACGCGGAGGCUCGAAAGCGUGGGGAGCGAACAGG